RNAcentral lists this long non-coding RNA (772 nucleotides) under Marmota monax (woodchuck). Lineage: Eukaryota; Metazoa; Chordata; Mammalia; Rodentia; Sciuridae. The record is from RNAcentral.
AGAGAGAUUCCACUUGUGAGAUACAAAUAUAUAUCUAAAACCACACCUCAAUUCCCAUUCCCUCCUGCCACAUGCUACCACUUUAGUUAUCACUCAGUUAAUCUGUAUUAGGUGAUUAAAUAAUUAAUUAGAUUAAGACUCUUACAACCCAACUAUUUCUCCUCUGAACCUUCUUGCAUUAUAUAACAAUAAUGCAAGUGAGCUUUUGGGGGACACCUCACAUCUAAACCAUAACAAGCAGGUAGGUUAGUGGGUCUGGAUAAUGAAUCUCAUCAUACCAAUCAUGGUCUGAGUUUUCUCUGUGUAGGAGUGUAUGAUUUUUCCAAUUUUAGAGAUAAUUUUAGGAGAAAGCCUGAUACUUAAAAAUGCUUUAGGCCCCUCAGAUGAUUUUCUCCUGGUCACUGUAGGCAGGUCUUCUAGUCUCUCACAGGGGCAUCUGGAGAGGUGUCAGCUGGUUGUGGCUCUGGUCUUAGGAUGGGUUCCCAUCUUGGUCUUGCAAGGUGGAGGAGGAACCUUUUUCUUUGGGGAAGCCUCUGGCCUUGAGGAUCUUAUAGAGGAAGGAGGAGCUGGUAUUGAAGGGCUAUAUUCUGCAGUUUCUGGAAACAAGGGGGCUGAGGGCACUGCCCAUUGUCUCGAUGGUCUUGAGAAUGUUGGGUAGAGUGGCAUGUAAGGAGGUGGGUUCUCUUCUGACUCACUGGGCAAAAUUGGUUCUUGUUCUGCCCUUUGUCAGAUUUUCUCUGCUUAGUUGCCUUUUGGGGGGUCAUAGAGGCUG